RNAcentral lists this ribosomal RNA (337 nucleotides) under Escherichia coli. RNAcentral describes it as "partial 16S ribosomal RNA". It matches the Rfam family "Bacterial small subunit ribosomal RNA", at positions 442 to 779 of the family's 1533-position model. RNAcentral also lists the same sequence under 1 other name. Lineage: Bacteria; Pseudomonadati; Pseudomonadota; Gammaproteobacteria; Enterobacterales; Enterobacteriaceae. The record is from RNAcentral.
GGGAGUAAAGUUAAUACCUUUGCUCAUUGACGUUACCCGCAGAAGAAGCACCGGCUAACUCCGUGCCAGCAGCCGCGGUAAUACGGAGGGUGCAAGCGUUAAUCGGAAUUACUGGGCGUAAAGCGCACGCAGGCGGUUUGUUAAGUCAGAUGUGAAAUCCCCGGGCUCAACCUGGGAACUGCAUCUGAUACUGGCAAGCUUGAGUCUCGUAGAGGGGGGUAGAAUUCCAGGUGUAGCGGUGAAAUGCGUAGAGAUCUGGAGGAAUACCGGUGGCGAAGGCGGCCCCCUGGACGAAGACUGACGCUCAGGUGCGAAAGCGUGGGGAGCAAACAGGAUU